UAUUCAUCUAUCACAUAUAUCUAUGUAAAUAUGCGAAUCAAGUACAACAAUCAAACAACAUAAUAAUUUUCACAAAGAAAAUUAAAAAAAUAUUUAUGUUAUGUAGUCUUAUUUUAUACUAUUCUUUAAAUAAUGUAAUACAAUAUUAUACAUUAUUUUUUUAGAAUUGAGAAAUACAUAUAAUAUCUUAUCCGCGCGUAGCGCGGUUAAAAACUCUAGUGUUUAUAAUAGACAAACGUGGUGCGCUCUUCUCUUUCCAAAUGGUUUUCUAGAUAUUCUAUCAAACCUGGAAUAGUGUAACUCAAAGCUUAUCUCAAAACAACAAAACUUCGAAAGGGACCAAGCUUGUACUCAAAGCUUAUCUCAAAACAACAAAGGUUCAAAGCUUAUGAAAUGUUUAUAAUUUACAUCAUUGCAGGAUAUUUAGAGUUGUGGUUCGAUGGAAAUCUGAAACCAAGUAUAACUAAAUGAGGAUAUGUUAAGACGUCCGACAAUUGGUCCUGCUUUGUUUCUGUUGGAAACAAGUGGUGGUUCGUAAUCUAAGGAAAAGCUAAUAUACUACAAAUCUAUAGUCCAAACAAAAAUUAUCCGUUUACAAAUGAUAGUUAGUACCAGUCUCAUAUUACAUCAAUAUAAUGACGUCAUCUAUUCAUUUAAUACAACUAGUGUGUCAAAAUGAUGGUUUACGUCAUAUGGGUUAUAUUGCAGAUAUUACAAUGAAGGUAGUAUCAGUAGCAUAACACACAUGGCUAAUCAAAAUUAAUCACCCCAAACCUUCCAUAAUUAUAUAAACGGUAUCCAAUUAGUAAUUACCCAAGUUUCAUCACAAUCUUCACAACACAAACUCUUUCACAAUGACUAAACAUCAUAGAAUUCUCCCCAUAAGUCUGUAGCGUCAUCCCACCGUCUCCCACAAUUUAUCUUCACACUUCUCGGUUUUCAGGCUCUCUUAUUUUGUUUUUUUUUUAGUUUGCUGCUAUCAUCGCAUGAAAUAUUAUUUUACUUUUUAUAAGCAAUGCAAGUUAACAUUAUUAUCGAAUCACUCCCAUUGCAUGUUAACAGACAAUGAUUAUAAAAUGAGAAAGUGAUUACUCUUGCAAUAUCAUAAGAUAGACAUGAUGUUCCCAAAAAGAUUAGAAUGUCAAAAUGCAUUUAACAAUAUUCUACACUACUCAGCCAGUGACUGAUUUAAUAAAAUUUUAGUAUUAAAUAGUUUAAAUAAAAAAUUUAAGUUCAUAUAAAUGUAAAUUUAGUACCAAACAUCUUCAUCAUCUACAUCCACAUGUAUGCUAAAUCAUUAAAUAUACAAUUUAAAUAUUAUAUAUAUAAAUAUAAUUUAGAAAUAUAUAAAUAUAAAAAUGUAAAAAUAUCUAUAUAUAUAUAUAUAAUUGUUUGCCUCUCUCCUGUGAAGACACCUCAGCGCCACGUCAGAAAGUCGGCUUCGGUAGGCGCGACACCUAUCCUCAUUAAUCAAAACGCAGUGCUCCAUUGUGUUUCCGUACGGGCUUUUUUUUUUGUUUUCGGCAAAGUUGGCUUCGGUCCGUUCUUCUUGCGAACAACAUCAGAAACUACCCUGCUAAACCUAAUCGUUUCCUUUGGCUGUGAGAAGGACGAUCGAUCGUUCUGUUUCUCCCUGUAACGGAACUCGACUUUAAUGGCAUUAAUACAGACGCCCAGUACGAGCCCUUUCAUUCCGUCGGCGAGAUCUCUGCUAUAAAUAGGGUGUUUUUUUCUGAUUUGAAGACCGGGAAGUGUUCAUCGGCUGUGGAGGCUAGGCACUAUAGGGUUAUUUAUCCGGGCCGCGAUCAGACUAAGCUGUUCUUCCUCUUCUCUAAGAAUGAAUCAUGUAAGGAUUGCUCUUGCUCUGCGUUUCGUAUUUGAAUAUAAUUUUUUUCCUGUAAUGGCAUCGCUUCAAGUUCUAUAUCCAGCUUUGAUUUUGUUUCAUGAGUCAAUUUAUAUGGAUUGAGAAGGGAAACACAUGGAUUUAAUAUGUUGGUUAUUGAUUGUUUAAAUUAGUAAUACAAACUGGCAUUCUUUUCCAUCUCCUAUGCGCAGUACAAGAAAUACCUUGGAGUCUCACAGUAACUUAUCUUUCUCUCUUCUUCAGUUUUAGAGAUAGGCUAAGUGGAUGAGUUAAGCUGCAAACUAAAACAUUGAAUCAGAAUGCACCAAAAAUAUUUACUUUUAUCUUUGCUGUUCUUGAUCUUUUCAGAAACUUUUACUUGCAGAUACACUUAAGAGGAUAUUCUAGAAACGUAUACCAUGUGAAGGAGAAGAUUCAGUAAAUUGCAACUUUGUUAACUCUUUGAAAGAGGUCAGUGAAACUUUUUUUUUUUUUUAAUACUAAUGUAACAAUGCACAUUGCCGAACAGGUAAAGAUUUUGUUACCUUGCACAAGUGCUGAUUUUUCUUUUCAAGUGUGUGGCUUUCUUCUGCAUUUUAAUGUAUUAUCAUCUUGGGACAAUACCGUUUACAUCUCUGUCAGCCACCAUUAUCACGAUUCCCUUAACUUAAGUUACGAGGGUUAUAUAAUUCCAUAAGCUGUGUUAGGUGUAUAACUGAUAAUGAUGGCGAAUGAUAUUGUGACCAAUUUGUUAUUUUUUUCUGAAAUUGAUUGAAGAGCUUGCAGAAGCCAAAGGAUGAUUAUCUUCGACUAAACUUAUGUCUGCACCACUGGCAUGUGUUUGCUAACAAGUUUAUAUAAAGGCAAAACGACAACUUUUGUAGUUGCAGAUAUUAGAGACUGAUUACUGGUUAGAGUCCUAAGACGAGGAGCACCAAAUCCCCACGAAAGAUGUUUUCUCUACAUAGUCGAAUAUGACAAAAACUUUGUACUUCUUCUCUUUCUUAAUUUUCCAAAUGAGCUAUAUAUUUUCUGGGUUUGUUUGUUGUUCUAAAUAGUUGUAUCAUUUCGUAAGAAUUUUGGUGAAGAAGAUUAACAUUUAUAGUAUUUAAAACUUCAACUUUGACUCUUUUAUCAUAUCUGGGCGGGUGUUUUUAAAAGAAAUAAAAGAAGGCAAAGUCAAGUCAUAAGAUGGAGAUCUCCAUGAGCAAAAAAUAUUGAUACGAGCUUAUUCCCAAUAUGUUUAUGAUCAGUAGAACCUUUAGUUGAGUUUAAUAGAAUAAAUUUUGGAGUCUCUAAAAAUAAAGAAUAACUAAGGUUACUGUCGUUUUAAUUCAAACCAAACAUAUUUAUUAAAAAUAACAAUAUGAUCUCGGAAUUCUUUUCAUCAUUUGUUUGUCUAUAAUAUCAUUUUCUAUAAUGAUUUUAAAUGCUUCAUAAAUUUAUAUAAAAUUAUAUAAAAUAGUUUUUAUUAUAACUUUCCACCCGUAGUGCGGACCGACCCUAGUAAAAUAUAAAAAUAUAUGGUAAACAGAAAAAUAAAUAAUGGGUAAUAACAUUUGAUAAUAUGGAUAACUCCGUUUUAAUAUAUAAUCUAUAUAUAUGUAUAUAUUAGUGGUGUUGGUUUUACGGUGACUUCCAAAUGCCUACACUUAUCGGCCACUACUCAAUUUUCACACUUUCCAAUUUAAUAUAUAUAUUUAUUUUGAUUAGGCUUGCAUUAUUAUCUUAUUCUCAUUUAAAUAACAUUCUACUUUUAAUAAGAAAUUUAACUUCAAAUAAUCACCACCUCAACUCCAAUAGCAUGUCGAAAGACUAUGAUCUCAAUAUAAAAAUUAAUAUUUUUAUAUCAUACACAAAAAAUACCCACAACCCAAUCCUUCUGAACCUAAAUAUUACAAACCACAAAUAACACACCAAAUACGAAAUCAAUUUUUUGUAAAAGGAAACAACAUGAAAACCAUUUGAAGUACUCACAGUAUAUCAAUGUCACAACUCUUUAACAAAGAAACAACUAUUGCAAACAAACAAAAUAUAUUUUAUUACGUAUAAUUCAUUUUCACCUAAAACUUCUAAA
Long non-coding RNA from Brassica rapa (field mustard), 3920 nucleotides. RefSeq lists it as uncharacterized. The record is from RefSeq and is a predicted model, not a curated record. Lineage: Eukaryota; Viridiplantae; Streptophyta; Magnoliopsida; Brassicales; Brassicaceae.